This 2557-nucleotide ribosomal RNA is filed under the name Ceratomyxa verudensis. RNAcentral's name for it is "eukaryotic LSU rRNA". It matches the Rfam family "Eukaryotic large subunit ribosomal RNA", at positions 334 to 2841 of the family's 3401-position model. Lineage: Eukaryota; Metazoa; Cnidaria; Myxozoa; Bivalvulida; Ceratomyxidae. The record is from RNAcentral.
CCGAUAGCGAACAAGUACUGUGAAGAAAAGUUGAAAAGGCGUCUGAAAAGAUGGUCAAAAGUACGUGAAACCGCCAGCGAGGAAGCUGUUGACCGCAAGUAGGCAAACGAUGUCGUCUACGGGGCCAAGUGCCGUCCAUGUCGAGUGUCCUUCCAAGCUAGCACUUGUUACGUUCAGAUUGUGCUGGUGAUGCUAGUGAAGGGCGGUAGACUGGCUCUGUGGAUGGCGACGGGGGCAUCAUUGAGGUCAACCGACCCGUCUUGAAACACGGACCAAGGAGGCUGAGGCCGCAGCGAGUCGUGGAGUGGAAAGCUCGACGGCGUAGCGAAAGCGACGGUGCCAAAGCGUCCUAUUCUUUUAUAGAUGGACACGGCUGCACUGGCCCUCACUUUUUAUAAAGGGAGGAGAGAGCUGCGGCUGCAGGACCCGAAAGAUGGUGAACUAUGCUUGGCCAAGAUGAAGCCAAAAGAAAUUCUGGUGGAGGUCUGAACGAGUUUUGACGUGCAAAUCACAUUCGGUGAGCUGAGUAUAGGGGCGACAAACUAAUCGAACCAUCUAGUAGCUGGUUCCCUUUGAAAUUUCCCUCAGGACAGCAAAAGCAUCUAUGUAGCUAACUUUGCCGCGUAGAGUUCAAUGAUUAGAGGCCUCAGGGACGUCUUACCUUGACCUAUUCUCAAACUACCAACCGGCAAGCGGAGGCCCUGUAACUUGUUGCAAGGGUCUCCCAUAGUAGCAGCUUUUAGUGGGCCACUUUUGGUAAGCAGAACUGGCGAUGCGGGAUGAACCGAAAGCCGAGCCAAGGUGCCCAAGAACACGCCAAGAGACGCCAUAAAGGGAGUUGUUUGAUAGAGACAGCAGGGCGGUGCCCCUGAAAGUAGGUACCCGCUAAGGAGUGUCUAAAAACUCACCUGCCGAAUUGACCGGCCCCGAAAAUGGAUGGCGCUAAAGCGUGUGACCGAUGCUCGGCCGCCACCACAGAUGCCUUAAAAUGUUUUAGAUAGCCUAGCUAUCAAAGACUGGCUGGUGGCGGGUAAAAGGGCGUCAUGGUAGCUAACAAGGUUGCCUGUAAAGGUGACUGGAGCUUGCAUGAGUGCAGAUCUUGGUGGCAGUAGCACUUAUUGAGUUGAGAACUAACAAUACUCAAGGCCGAAGCGGAGAAGGGUUCCGCGUCAACAGGGCUUGAACGCGGGUGAGUCGGUCCUAAGCCAACAGCAGACUGGAUGAGGCCGAAGCAAUGAAAAAAUUGAUUUUCACUUAAAAAAUGUAGGUGCCGACAGUGUAGGCGAAAGGGAAGCAGGUAAAGAUUCCUGCACCGCUCAAUGUCAGGGUCGCACUCCUCGUUAGGUGUGCUUCGAUCACAUGCAAGUGUAGCAAGUCCGGGGACGUCAUCAACACGACCAGGCAGAGUUUUCGUCUCUGUGUAACACGUAGCAGCACCCGCCUGAAUCGAGUUCGUUUGGAGACGGGGGUGUGAAGCUGGGCGUCUCGUCAGCUAAGUGGUUGGCGACUGUGUCGGGGGCUGGCCCAUGAAAACCCGGUGGCCGUUUGAACGUUGAGUGGCCGUACCGAAACCGCAACAGGUCUCCAAGGCGAGCAGCCUCUGGCAGUGGAGCAACAGUGGUAAGGGAAGUCGGCAAAAUAGACCCGUAACUUGGGGACAAGGGUUGGCUCUGGAGGUCCAGCUGGAUCCGUGAGUGAUGAUGUAUUCGCGAGCGAGGAAGGCGCCAAAGGUGGGCCAGACCAGAACUUUGAACACGGAGGGGAAUCCGACUGUCUAAUUAAAACAAAGCUUUGCGAUGGUGCCGAGGAGUACGUUGACGUAAAGUGAAUUCUGCCCAGUGCUUUGACUGUCAAAGUGUUGCAAAACAACCAAGCACAGGUCAACGGCAGAGGUAACUAUGACCUUUUUAAGCUAGCCAAAUGCCUCGUCAUCUAAUUAGUGACGUGCAUGAAUGGAUGAACGAGAUUCCCACUGUCCCUACCACUAUUCCAGCGAACCCACAGUCAAGGGAACGGGCUUGACUGGUACAGCGGGGAAAGAAGACCCUGUUGAGCUUGACUCUAGUUUGGCGUUGUGAGGCGACUCGAGGGAUGUAGAAUAGGUGGGAGGCUAUGAUAUUUCUACGGGCAUUUUUGUCCGUAGAAAGAUGGUCAAAAAUGAAAUACCACCGCCUCCGACGUCGCUACACUAAGCGUGUGAACUACGUACUUUAGCCCUGUAGUUUUUUUUCUUGCUCUACUGGCAGUGCACCGGCGCGCUGCUUGGUAGAAUGUCAAGGCUGCAGGGGGUACCGGGGGGGGCGCGAUCGCGUCAGAUGGGGGAGUUUGACUGGGGCGGUACAUCCUCAAAAUGUCAACGAGGAUGACCCAAGGCAGGCUCAUGGUGGACGGAAACCACUAGUAGAGCAAAAGGGCAAAAGCCUGCUUGAUAUUGACCCCUAGUAGUGGUCAGAGCCGUGAAAGCGUGGCCUAUCGAUCCUUUGCAGAACAAUUUUAUUCUCAGGGUGUGAGAGCAGGGGUGUCAGAAAAGUUACCACAGGGAUAACUGGCUUGUGGC